RNAcentral lists this ribosomal RNA (255 nucleotides) under uncultured bacterium. Its description in RNAcentral is "partial 16S ribosomal RNA". It matches the Rfam family "Bacterial small subunit ribosomal RNA", at positions 524 to 776 of the family's 1533-position model. The record is from RNAcentral.
UACAGAGGUCUCAAGCGUUGUUCGGAUUCAUUGGGCGUAAAGAGCUCGUAGGCGGCUUGGCAAGUCGGGUGUGAAAACUUCAGGCUCAACCUGGAGCGGCCACUCGAUACUGCCAUGGCUUGAGUCCGGUAGGGGACCACGGAAUUCCUGGUGUAGCGGUGAAAUGCGCAGAUAUCAGGAGGAACACCGAUGGCGAAGGCAGGUCUCUGGGCAUUGAACUGACGCUGAGGAGCGAAAGCAUGGGGAGCGAACAGG